AAAUUGAAGAGUUUGAUCAUGGCUCAGAUUGAACGCUGGCGGCAGGCCUAACACAUGCAAGUCGAACGGUAGCACAGAGAGCUUGCUCUCGGGUGACGAGUGGCGGACGGGUGAGUAAUGUCUGGGAAACUGCCUGAUGGAGGGGGAUAACUACUGGAAACGGUGGCUAAUACCGCAUAACGUCGCAAGACCAAAGAGGGGGACCUUCGGGCCUCUUGCCAUCAGAUGUGCCCAGAUGGGAUUAGCUAGUUGGUGAGGUAACGGCUCACCAAGGCGACGAUCCCUAGCUGGUCUGAGAGGAUGACCAGCCACACUGGAACUGAGACA
RNAcentral lists this ribosomal RNA (327 nucleotides) under Salmonella enterica. RNAcentral describes it as "bacterial SSU rRNA". It matches the Rfam family "Bacterial small subunit ribosomal RNA", at positions 1 to 326 of the family's 1533-position model. Lineage: Bacteria; Pseudomonadati; Pseudomonadota; Gammaproteobacteria; Enterobacterales; Enterobacteriaceae. The record is from RNAcentral.